This 278-nucleotide ribosomal RNA is filed under the name uncultured bacterium. RNAcentral describes it as "partial 16S ribosomal RNA". It matches the Rfam family "Bacterial small subunit ribosomal RNA", at positions 335 to 596 of the family's 1533-position model. The record is from RNAcentral.
ACUCCUACGGGAGGCAGCAGUGGGGAAUAUUGCACAAUGGGCGCAAGCCUGAUGCGCAUGCCGCAUGCGUCGUGUGUGAAAGAAAGGGCCCUUCGGGUUGUAAAGCACUUUCAGUUGUGAGGAAAGGUUAGUCGCUAAUAUCGGCUAGCUGUGACGUUAGCAACAGAAGAAGCACCGGCUAACUCCGUGCCAGCAGCCGCGGUAAUACGGAGGGUGCGAGCGUUAAUCGGAAUUACUGGGCGUAAAGCGCGUGUAGGUGGCUUGUUAAGCCAGAUGUG